RNAcentral lists this ribosomal RNA (467 nucleotides) under uncultured bacterium. Its description in RNAcentral is "partial 16S ribosomal RNA". It matches the Rfam family "Bacterial small subunit ribosomal RNA", at positions 29 to 507 of the family's 1533-position model. The record is from RNAcentral.
ACGAACGCUGGCGGCGUGCUUAACACAUGCAAGUCGCACGGAAAGGCCCUGCUUUUGUGGGGUGCUCGAGUGGCGAACGGGUGAGUAACACGUGAGUAACCUGCCCUUGACUUUGGGAUAACUUCAGGAAACUGGGGCUAAUACUGGAUAGGAGCUCCUGCUGCAUGGUGGGGGUUGGAAAGUUUCGGCGGUUGGGGAUGGACUCGCGGCUUAUCAGCUUGUUGGUGGGGUAGUGGCUUACCAAGGCUUUGACGGGUAGCCGGCCUGAGAGGGUGACCGGCCACAUUGGGACUGAGAUACGGCCCAGACUCCUACGGGAGGCAGCAGUGGGGAAUAUUGCACAAUGGGCGGAAGCCUGAUGCAGCAACGCCGCGUGCGGGAUGACGGCCUUCGGGUUGUAAACCGCUUUCGCCUGUGACGAAGCGUGAGUGACGGUAAUGGGUAAAGAAGCACCGGCUAACUACGUG